RNAcentral lists this long non-coding RNA (285 nucleotides) under Ananas comosus (pineapple). Its description in RNAcentral is "long non-coding RNA (ACOM_LNC023378)". The record is from RNAcentral. Lineage: Eukaryota; Viridiplantae; Streptophyta; Magnoliopsida; Poales; Bromeliaceae.
GAGAAGAAAGAAAGCUGCGGAGUCGCAGAAUUUCUUAUGUAAAAGUUCAGUGGAGCAACCAUGCUGUGCGAGAAGCCACUUGGGUGCUCGAGGAGGCGAUGUGGAGAGAGUAUCCGCGUUUAUUCGAGUCGACAAGUUAAGGUACGGUUAAUUUCACGGACGAAAUUAUUUUAAGGGGUGGAGAAUGUGAUAUACCAAAAUUUCGGUAAAUAAAUAUCGAACUUUAGUCAAAUUGACCAAAGUACGAGAUUGCUAUGCUUCGGAAAGGCCGAAGGCGUUAAAAUG